GAACCAUUCAGACACUGGGAUCAGACACCAGUGACCUUGGUUCACCACGGAGUCCUAAAAAAAGGUCUCACAUAGCCAGACCAGCCAGGUCUGCAGAAAAAGCUUUAGAAUCAGUGCUGGGAGUUAGUCCAACCAGGAUCUAGAGAAGUUGCAGUUCUCUGGAGGCUGAGAUGGGAAUAAGGAGGCUGGAAGCCACCCCUUCCCAGCAUGAAGAGGAGGAAGAGGAAACUGCCUUUGGAGCAAUUCAUUGACAAUCCAAGACUAGCCCAAAGAAAGAGGAACUCAAAGCUUUACCAUAAAAUGGAAAAAAGAAGAGGAGGAGAAAGAAGCGAAGAAAAGGAGGAGGAGAAAAGGGAAGAGGAAGAGAAGGAGGAGGAAGAGAAAGCCAUGGGAUAAAAUAAGGUAAGGAAUUUAAUGUGCUAUAUAUGAAUGAAAGUCAAGGUUCUUGACAGUUCAGUAGUCACAUGGGUCAGAAACUACACACAUACUAUAUGACCAUAUGAUGGCCAUCUGAGGUUCACCAUGGUCCCCUGUGGAAGGCAUUUGAGACACAUACCAGGGAAUAGACAGUCUGAAGCUCAUGCUGAGUG
RNAcentral lists this long non-coding RNA (590 nucleotides) under Rattus norvegicus (Norway rat). RNAcentral's name for it is "long non-coding RNA NONRATT033387". The record is from RNAcentral. Lineage: Eukaryota; Metazoa; Chordata; Mammalia; Rodentia; Muridae.